This 305-nucleotide unclassified non-coding RNA is filed under the name Melitaea cinxia (Glanville fritillary). RNAcentral's name for it is "misc RNA ENSMCXG00005017611.1". The record is from RNAcentral. Lineage: Eukaryota; Metazoa; Arthropoda; Insecta; Lepidoptera; Nymphalidae.
UUUUUUUUUUUUUUUUUAACAAGUCAUACAUCCACGGGCUUAUGAACCCAUGUCCUUUUUUACUCUAAUACAUGCAAAUUUUUAUUUUUAUUUUUUCUCUAUUUCAAGGUAGGCGUUAGUCAAUAACAUCGCUGUUCAAGUCACUAUGUUUGUUUUUAAUGUCUCCAAAAGAGACGUGAGUCCACCGACCGGUUCUUAAUCUAAUCUAUGGUACAAUUUUUUUUUUUUUUUUUUUUUUUUUUUUUUUUUUUUUUUUUUUUUUUUUUUUUUUUUUUUUUCUGAUAUAUUUAUAAACUAUUUUUAUU